AUUGAACGCUGGCGGCAGGCCUAACACAUGCAAGUCGAACGGCAACAGAGUGAGAGCUUGCUCUUACCGGUGGCGUGUCGCGGGCGUGUGUGAAGUCCGUCGGACUCUACGUUGUCGGGGGGUAUCACGUGGGAACACUUACUAUUACAGCGCAUCGUCGCUACACCAAAGAGGGGGACCUUUUGGCCCCUUGCCAUCGGAUAUGCCCAGAUGGGAUUAGCUAGUUGGUGGGGUAACGGCCCACCCAGGCGACGAUCCCUAGCUGGUCUGAGAGGAUGACCAGCCACACUGGAACUGAGACACGGUCCAGACUCCUACGGGAGGCAGCAGUGGGGAAUAUUGGACAAUGGGCGCAAGCCUGAUCCAGCCAUGCCGCGUGUGUGAAGAAGGCCUUCGGGUUGUAAAGCCCUUUUGGUGGGGAAGAAGGGAAGCAGGUUAAUACCCCGACGUAUUGACGGUACCCAAAGAAGAAGCACCGGCUAACUCCGUG
RNAcentral lists this ribosomal RNA (490 nucleotides) under uncultured bacterium. RNAcentral describes it as "partial 16S ribosomal RNA". It matches the Rfam family "Bacterial small subunit ribosomal RNA", at positions 30 to 507 of the family's 1533-position model. The record is from RNAcentral.